Molecule: ribosomal RNA, 251 nt
Filed under: uncultured bacterium
Lineage: Bacteria
Description: partial 16S ribosomal RNA
Rfam family: Bacterial small subunit ribosomal RNA
Source: RNAcentral
ACGUAUGGUGCAAGCGUUAUCCGGAUUUACUGGGUGUAAAGGGUGCGUAGGUGGUGAGACAAGUCUGAAGUGAAAAUCCGGGGCUUAACCCCGGAACUGCUUUGGAAACUGCCUGACUAGAGUACAGGAGAGGUAAGUGGAAUUCCUAGUGUAGCGGUGAAAUGCGUAGAUAUUAGGAGGAACACCAGUGGCGAAGGCGACUUACUGGACUGCUACUGACACUGAGGCACGAAAGCGUGGGGAGCAAACAG